This 72-nucleotide transfer RNA is filed under the name Ophiura albida. Its description in RNAcentral is "transfer RNA-Asn". It matches the Rfam family "tRNA". Rfam says of the family: Transfer RNA (tRNA) molecules are approximately 80 nucleotides in length. Their secondary structure includes four short double-helical elements and three loops (D, anti-codon, and T loops). Further hydrogen bonds mediate the characteristic L-shaped molecular structure. tRNAs have two regions of fundamental functional importance: the anti-codon, which is responsible for specific mRNA codon recognition, and the 3' end, to which the tRNAs corresponding amino acid is attached (by aminoacyl-tRNA synthetases). tRNAs cope with the degeneracy of the genetic code in two manners: having more than one tRNA (with a specific anti-codon) for a particular amino acid; and 'wobble' base-pairing, i.e. permitting non-standard base-pairing at the 3rd anti-codon position. The record is from RNAcentral. Lineage: Eukaryota; Metazoa; Echinodermata; Ophiuroidea; Amphilepidida; Ophiuridae.
UAGGUUGAAGUUUAAUGUUUGAGCAUUUGGCCGUUAACCAAAGAGUAGCGGGAUAAAUACCUGCCAACCUAA